GGGGAAUAUUGGGCAAUGGGGGCAACCCUGACCCAGCGACGCCGCGUGAAGGACGAAGGCAUUCGUGUUGUAAACUUCUUUGGAGAGGGACGAAAAUGACGGUACCUCUCGAACAAGCCACGGCUAACUACGUGCCAGCAGCCGCGGUAAUACGUAGGUGGCAAGCGUUAUCCGGAAUUACUGGGUGUAAAGGGCGCGCAGGCGGCCCUGCAAGUCGGAUGUGAAAGAUCAAGGCUCAACCUUGACAGGCCAUUCGAAACUGUGGGGCUUGAGUGUCAGAGGGGAAAGUGGAAUUCCUAGUGGAGCGGUAAAAUGCGCAGAUAUUAGGAGGAACACCGGUGGCGAAGGCGACUUUCUGGCUGACAACUGACGCUGAGGCGCGAAAGCGUGGGGAGCAAAC
This 400-nucleotide ribosomal RNA is filed under the name uncultured bacterium. RNAcentral describes it as "bacterial SSU rRNA". It matches the Rfam family "Bacterial small subunit ribosomal RNA", at positions 356 to 773 of the family's 1533-position model. The record is from RNAcentral.